CCUACGGGGGGCAGCAGUAGGGAAUUUUCGUCAAUGGGCGCAAGCCUGAACGAGCAAUGCCGCGUGAACGAGGAAGGUCUUCGGAUCGUAAAGUUCUGUUGACGGGGAAAAAGAGCGGAGAGAGGAAAUGAACUCCGAUUGAUAUUACCCUUCGAGGCAGUCACGGCUAACUACGUGCCAGCAGCCGCGGUAAUACGUAGGGUGCGAGCGUUAAUCGGAAUUACUGGGCGUAAAGGGUGUGCAGGCGGUUUUGCAAGAUGGAUGUGAAAGCCCCGGGCUUAACCUGGGAAAGCCAUACAUGACUGCAAGACUAGAGUGCGUCAGAGGGGGGUGGAAUUCCAAGUGUAGCAGUGAAAUGCGUAGAUAUUUGGAAGAACACCGAUGGCGAAGGCAGCCCCCUGGGACGCAACUGACGCUCAUACACGAAAGCGUGGGGAGCAAACAGGAUUAGAUACCCCAGUAGUC
RNAcentral lists this ribosomal RNA (465 nucleotides) under uncultured bacterium. Its description in RNAcentral is "partial 16S ribosomal RNA". It matches the Rfam family "Bacterial small subunit ribosomal RNA", at positions 338 to 795 of the family's 1533-position model. The record is from RNAcentral.